GACGAACCGUGCAAACGUUGUUCGGAAUCACUGGGCUUAAAGGGCGCGUAGGCGGGUCUCCAAGUCGGUGGUGAAAUCUUUCAGCUCAACUGGAAAAGUGCCGCCGAUACUGGGGAUCUCGAGGGAGGUAGGGGUCGAUGGGACUAAUGGUGGAGCGGUGAAAUGCGUAGAUAUCAUUAGGAACGCCGGUGGCGAAGGCGGGUCUCUGGGCCGAUACUGACGCUGAGGAGCGAAAGCGUGGGGAGCGAACAGG
RNAcentral lists this ribosomal RNA (253 nucleotides) under uncultured bacterium. RNAcentral's name for it is "partial 16S ribosomal RNA". It matches the Rfam family "Bacterial small subunit ribosomal RNA", at positions 524 to 776 of the family's 1533-position model. The record is from RNAcentral.